GAGUGAGUGGCGAACUGGUGAGUAACACGUGGGAAACCUGCCCAGAAGCGGGGGAUAACACCUGGAAACAGAUGCUAAUACCGCAUAACAACUUGGACCGCAUGGUCCGAGUUUGAAAGAUGGCUUCGGCUAUCACUUUUGGAUGGUCCCGCGGCGUAUUAGCUAGAUGGUGGGGUAACGGCUCACCAUGGCAAUGAUACGUAGCCGACCUGAGAGGGUAAUCGGCCACAUUGGGACUGAGACACGGCCCAAACUCCUACGGGAGGCAGCAGUAGGGAAUCUUCCACAAUGGACGAAAGUCUGAUGGAGCAACGCCGCGUGAGUGAAGAAGGGUUUCGGCUCGUAAAACUCUGUUGUUAAAGAAGAACAUAUCUGAGAGUAACUGUUCAGGUAUUGACGGUAUUUAACCAGAAAGCCACGGCUAACUACGUGCCAGCAGCCGCGGUAAUACGUAGGUGGCAAGCGUUGUCCGGAUUUAUUGGGCGUAAAGCGAGCGCAGGCGGUUUUUUAAGUCUGAUGUGAAAGCCUUCGGCUCAACCGAAGAAGUGCAUCGGAAACUGGGAAACUUGAGUGCAGAAGAGGACAGUGGAACUCCAUGUGUAGCGGUGAAAUGCGUAGAUAUAUGGAAGAACACCAGUGGCGAAGGCGGCUGUCUGGUCUGUAACUGACGCUGAGGCUCGAAAGUAUGGGUAGCAAACAGGAUUAGAUACCCUGGUAGUCCAUACCGUAAACGAUGAAUGCUAAGUGUUGGAGGGUUUCCGCCCUUCAGUGCUGCAGCUAACGCAUUAAGCAUUCCGCCUGGGGAGUACGGCCGCAAGGCUGAAACUCAAAGGAAUUGACGGGGGCCCGCACAAGCGGUGGAGCAUGUGGUUUAAUUCGAAGCUACGCGAAGAACCUUACCAGGUCUUGACAUACUAUGCAAAUCUAAGAGAUUAGACGUUCCCUUCGGGGACAUGGAUACAGGUGGUGCAUGGUUGUCGUCAGCUCGUGUCGUGAGAUGUUGGGUUAAGUCCCGCAACGAGCGCAACCCUUAUUAUCAGUUGCCAGCAUUAAGUUGGGCACUCUGGUGAGACUGCCGGUGACAAACCGGAGGAAGGUGGGGAUGACGUCAAAUCAUCAUGCCCCUUAUGACCUGGGCUACACACGUGCUACAAUGGAUGGUACAACGAGUUGCGAACUCGCGAGAGUAAGCUAAUCUCUUAAAGCCAUUCUCAGUUCGGAUUGUAGGCUGCAACUCGCCUACAUGAAGUCGGAA
Molecule: ribosomal RNA, 1255 nt
Filed under: Lactiplantibacillus plantarum
Lineage: Bacteria; Bacillati; Bacillota; Bacilli; Lactobacillales; Lactobacillaceae
Description: bacterial SSU rRNA
Rfam family: Bacterial small subunit ribosomal RNA
Source: RNAcentral